This 708-nucleotide long non-coding RNA is filed under the name Mus musculus (house mouse). Its description in RNAcentral is "long non-coding RNA chr2:29911362-29912070". Lineage: Eukaryota; Metazoa; Chordata; Mammalia; Rodentia; Muridae. The record is from RNAcentral.
GGCUGAUCUUCCAGAGGAUCUGUUUGGUUCCCAGUACCCACAUGGUGGCUUACAACCAUCUGAUGCCCUCUUCUGGUCUCUAUGGACACUAUAUGCAUGUGAUGCCCAUACAUGCAUGCAGGCCAAACGUUCAUGUACAUAAAAAAUAAAUAAAAUAAAGGGCCGUAGUAGUGGCUCGGUGACUUCAAGCACAUAUUCUUGCAGAGGACCUGGGUUCAGGUCUCAGCAUCCACAUGGUGGUUCACAACCAUCUGUAACAAUGGCUUAAUGGGAUCUGAUGCUGUCUUUUGACCUCCAUGGGCACCAGACAAGCAUUUGGUACAUAUACCUGUAUGCAGGUUAAGUAGUCAUAUGCAUUGCGGAUGGAGAGGUGGCUCAGUGGUGGAGCGUCCUAUCCUAGCUGCUCUUCCAGGGCUUUUGGGUUUAGUUCCCAGCAUAGACAUGUUCACUCACAAGGGAUCCGAUGUCCUCUUCUGCCCUCUGUGGGCACUGUACACAUGUGGUACACAAAUGUACAAAUAGGCAAAACACCCAUGUACAUAUGAGAGGGGAAAUCUAAUUUUUCAAAAAAACAUUAAAAGUAAAAUGAGCCAGGUGCUGUGGCAAAUGACUUUAAUCCCAGUUCUCGGGAGGCCAAAGCUAGCCUGGUCUACAGAACGAGUUCCAGGACAGCCAGUGCUGCACAGAGAAACCCUGCCUCAAAAAACC